GGGGAAUAUUGCACAAUGGGCGAAAGCCUGAUGCAGCGACGCCGCGUGAGGGACGACGGCCUUCGGGUUGUAAACCUCUUUCAGCAGGGACGAAGCGAAAGUGACUGUACCUGCAGAAGAAGCACCGGCUAACUACGUGCCAGCAGCCGCGGUAAUACGUAGGGUGCAAGCGUUGUCCGGAUUUAUUGGGCGUAAAGAGCUCGUAGGCGGUUUGUCGCGUCGGAUGUGAAAACCUAUGGCUUAACCAUGGGCCUGCAUUCGAUACGGGCAGACUAGAGUUCGGUAGGGGAGACUGGAACUCCUGGUGUAGCGGUGAAAUGCGCAGAUAUCAGGAAGAACACCGGUGGCGAAGGCGGGUCUCUGGGCCGAUACUGACGCUGAGGAGCGAAAGCGUGGGGAGCAAAC
RNAcentral lists this ribosomal RNA (405 nucleotides) under uncultured bacterium. RNAcentral's name for it is "bacterial SSU rRNA". It matches the Rfam family "Bacterial small subunit ribosomal RNA", at positions 356 to 773 of the family's 1533-position model. The record is from RNAcentral.